Molecule: ribosomal RNA, 423 nt
Filed under: Fusobacteriota bacterium
Lineage: Bacteria; Fusobacteriati; Fusobacteriota
Description: Fusobacteria bacterium partial 16S ribosomal RNA
Rfam family: Bacterial small subunit ribosomal RNA
Source: RNAcentral
UGAGGAAUAUUGGUCAAUGGGCGAGAGCCUGAACCAGCCAAGUAGCGUGCAGGAUGACGGCCCUAUGGGUUGUAAACUGCUUUUAUGUGGGGAUAAAGUGCGUGACGUGUCAUGCAUUGCAGGUACCACAUGAAUAAGGACCGGCUAAUUCCGUGCCAGCAGCCGCGGUAAUACGGAAGGUCCGGGCGUUAUCCGGAUUUAUUGGUUUAAAGGGAGCGUAGGCUGUCUAUUAAGCGUGUUGUGAAAUUUACCGGCUCAACCGGUGGCUUGCAGCGCGAACUGGUCGACUUGAGUAUGCAGGAAGUAGGCGGAAUUCAUGGUGUAGCGGUGAAAUGCUUAGAUAUCAUGACGAACUCCGAUUGCGCAGGCAGCUUACUGUAGCAUAACUGACGCUGAUGCUCGAAAGUGCGGGUAUCAAACAGG